This 301-nucleotide ribosomal RNA is filed under the name uncultured bacterium. RNAcentral describes it as "partial 16S ribosomal RNA". It matches the Rfam family "Bacterial small subunit ribosomal RNA", at positions 509 to 807 of the family's 1533-position model. The record is from RNAcentral.
CAGUAGCCGCGGGAAUACAGAGGGUGCGAGCGUUAAUCGGAUUUACUGGGCGUAAAGCGUGCGUAGGCGGCUUCUUAAGUCGGAUGUGAAAUCCCUGAGCUUAACUCAGGAAUUGCAUUCGAUACUGGGAAGCUAGAGUAUGGGAGAGGAUGGUAGAAUUCCAGGUGUAGCGGUGAAAUGCGUAGAGAUCUGGAGGAAUACCGAUGGCGAAGGCAGCCAUCUGGCCUAAUACUGACGCUGAGGUACGAAAGCAUGGGGAGCAAACAGGAUUAGAUACCCCCGUAGUCCCUGUCUCUUAUAC